Molecule: ribosomal RNA, 528 nt
Filed under: Triticum aestivum (bread wheat)
Lineage: Eukaryota; Viridiplantae; Streptophyta; Magnoliopsida; Poales; Poaceae
Description: partial small subunit ribosomal RNA
Source: RNAcentral
AUGCCGGAUGGAGUUAACGACACGUCCAUUGUGCUAAUUCCUAAAGUGCCACACCCGAGAGAGCUCGAGGAUUUCCGGCCCAUUAGUUUGUGCAAUGUGGUGUAUAAGAUCGUGUCAAAGUGCAUGGUAAAUAGGCUUCGGCCUCUCUUAACUGAGCUUAUUUCUGAAAAUCAAAGUGCCUUCAUCCCCGGGAGGCUUAUCUCUGAUAACUCCAUCAUCGCGUUUGAGUGCAUUCAUCACAUCCAAUCCGCCAAAGCAAAUUCACCAUCGUUGUGUGCUUACAAACUGGAUUUGUCAAAGGCUUAUGACCGUGUUGAUUGGAACUUUCUGGAGAGGUCUCUUUCUAAGUGGGGAUUCUCCGAUGAAUGGAUCUCCCGCGUUAUGGCAUGUGUUACAUCAGUGGAGUACUCAGUGAAAUUCAAUGGGAAAUUUUUGGAGUCCUUCUCUCCCUCGAGAGGGCUCCGCCAAGGUGAUCUGUUAUCCCCUUCCUCUUCCUCUUUGUGGCUAAUGCUCUUUCUAUUCUUUUGA